CUAGCUCCUUUACUCCUCCUCCUCGCCGCUCGCGACCCUUCCUCUUCUCCUCCUCCCUCCUUGCCGCUCGCCGCACGACCUCCUUCCUCGCCGGUCGCCGCUCCUCGCCGCACGCACGACCCCCUUCCUCGCCGCUCGCCGCUCCUCGCCACACGAUCCCCUUCCUUGCCGCUUGCUGCUCGCUGCUCCUCGCCGCACGCACGAGCCCCUUCCUCGCCA
Molecule: long non-coding RNA, 219 nt
Filed under: Eucalyptus grandis
Lineage: Eukaryota; Viridiplantae; Streptophyta; Magnoliopsida; Myrtales; Myrtaceae
Description: long non-coding RNA (EGRA_LNC001650)
Source: RNAcentral